This 553-nucleotide ribosomal RNA is filed under the name uncultured archaeon. Its description in RNAcentral is "bacterial SSU rRNA". It matches the Rfam family "Archaeal small subunit ribosomal RNA", at positions 325 to 879 of the family's 1478-position model. The record is from RNAcentral.
ACGGGGUGCAGCAGGCGCGAAAACUUCACACUGGGGGGAACCCCGAUGAGGGAAAUCCUAGUGCUAGGACAUUUGUUCUAGCUUUUCUCAAGCGUAGAUAACUUGAGGAAUAAGGGCUGGGUAAGACGGGUGCCAGCCGCCGCGGUAAUACCCGCAGCCCGAGUGGUGGUCGAUUUUAUUGAGUCUAAAACGUUCGUAGCCGGUCUGAUAAAUCCCUGGGUAAAUCGGGUGGCUUAACCAUCCGAAUUCCGGGGAGACUGUCAGGCUUGGGAUCGGGAGAGGUAUGAGGUACUUCAGGGGUAGGGGUAAAAUCCUGUAAUCCUUGGAGGACCACCGGUGGCGAAGGCGUCAUACUAGAACGGAUCCGACGGUGAGGGACGAAGCCCUGGGUCGCAAACGGGAUUAGAUACCCCGGUAGUCCAGGGUGUAAACGUUGCAGACUUGGUGUUGGAGGCCCUUCGGGGGCAUUCAGUGCCGGAGAGAAGUUGUUAAGUCUGCUACUUGGGGAGUACGUCCGCAAGGGUGAAACUUAAAGGAAUUGGCGGGGGAGCAC